Molecule: ribosomal RNA, 860 nt
Filed under: uncultured beta proteobacterium
Lineage: Bacteria; Pseudomonadati; Pseudomonadota; Betaproteobacteria
Description: bacterial SSU rRNA
Rfam family: Bacterial small subunit ribosomal RNA
Source: RNAcentral
AGUCGAACGGCAGCGCGGGGCAACCUGGCGGCGAGUGGCGAACGGGUGAGUAAUAUAUCGGAACGUGCCCUGGAGUGGGGGAUAACGCAGCGAAAGUUGCGCUAAUACCGCAUACGAUCUAAGGAUGAAAGUGGGGGCUUCGCAAGAACCUCAUGCUCCUGGAGCGGCCGAUAUCUGAUUAGCUAGUUGGUGGGGUAAAGGCCUACCAAGGCAUCGAUCAGUAGCUGGUCUGAGAGGACGACCAGCCACACUGGAACUGAGACACGGUCCAGACUCCUACGGGAGGCAGCAGUGGGGAAUUUUGGACAAUGGGCGCAAGCCUGAUCCAGCAAUGCCGCGUGAGUGAAGAAGGCCUUCGGGUUGUAAAGCUCUUUUGUCAGGGAAGAAACGGUGUGGGCUAAUAUCCCGCACUAAUGACGGUACCUGAAGAAUAAGCACCGGCUAACUACGUGCCAGCAGCCGCGGUAAUACGUAGGGUGCAAGCGUUAAUCGGAAUUACUGGGCGUAAAGCGUGCGCAGGCGGUUUUGUAAGUUUGUCGUGAAAUCCCCGGGCUCAGCCUGGGAAUGGCGAUGAAGACUGCAAGGCUAGAACCUGGCAGAGGGGGGUAGAAUUCCACGUGUAGCAGUGAAAUGCGUAGAGAUGUGGAGGAACACCGAUGGCGAAGGCAGCCCCCUGGGUCAAGAUUGACGCUCAUGCACGAAAGCGUGGGGAGCAAACAGGAUUAGAUACCCUGGUAGUCCACGCCCUAAACGAUGUCUACUAGUUGUCGGGUUUUAAUUAACUUGGUAACGCAGCUAACGCGUGAAGUAGACCGCCUGGGGAGUACGGUCGCAAGAUUAAAACUCAAAUGAAUUGACGG